Molecule: ribosomal RNA, 315 nt
Filed under: uncultured eukaryote
Lineage: Eukaryota
Description: partial 18S ribosomal RNA
Rfam family: Eukaryotic small subunit ribosomal RNA
Source: RNAcentral
CCCUUAGACGUUCUGGGCCGCACGCGCGCUACACUGACCAGUGCAACAAGCAUCCGUCCUUGGCCGACAGGCUCGGGCAAUCUUUGAACGCUGGUCGUGAUGGGGAUAGACUUUUGCAAUUUUUGGUCUUCAACGGGGAAUUCCUAGUAAACGCAAGUCAUCAACUUGCAUUGAUUACGUCCCUGCCCUUUGUACACACCGCCCGUCGCACCUACCGAUUGAAUGGUCCGGUGAAGCCUCCGGAUUGGCGCGCACCUCGGUGCCGCCGAGAAGUUGGCUAAACCUUACCAUUUAGAGGAAGGUGAAGUCGUANCA